UACGGAGGAGGCAAGCGUUAUCCGGAAUUAUUGGGCGUAAAGCGUCCGUAGGUGGUGAUUCAAGUCAGCGGUUAAAGGGUGGUGCUUAACCUCAUACAGGCCGUUGAACCUGGAUUGCUAGAGUGCGGUAGGGGUCGAGGGAAUUCCCAGUGUAGCGGUGAAAUGCGUAGAUAUUGGGAAGAACACCGGUGGCGAAAGCGCUCGGCUGGGCCUGCACUGACACUGAGGGACGAAAGCUAGGGGAGCAAAAGGG
Molecule: ribosomal RNA, 253 nt
Filed under: uncultured bacterium
Lineage: Bacteria
Description: partial 16S ribosomal RNA
Rfam family: Bacterial small subunit ribosomal RNA
Source: RNAcentral